Megalops cyprinoides (Indo-Pacific tarpon) is the source of this 528-nucleotide long non-coding RNA. RefSeq lists it as uncharacterized. NCBI's taxonomy places the organism in Eukaryota, Metazoa, Chordata, Actinopteri, Elopiformes, Megalopidae. The transcript is spliced from 3 exons. The record is from RefSeq and is a predicted model, not a curated record.
GGUUAGGUCACUACUUACUGUAGGCAUAUGAGCUCAGCGGGGAGUCAGGUACUAUAUACGGCAGGAGUGGGGCAAUGACUCAGCGCUGCACUGAUCAUCACAGUGACUGCAGAAUGUUCACUUCACAGAACGUGUUCUCACUUGGCUUUGUCUCUUCGGGGACAUGCUGUAACUGGCACCAUUCAAAGUCUCCAGAGGCUGAUUGGAAACUGUAUCGUCUGUGUCGUCACCUGGGUCCUUUCCAGACUUCACUUCCAGUCCUUUUUCGUGAUGUAAGAACAUGGUGGGAAGGAGUUGGCUCACAACGAGAGCUGGGAUGAUUGCCAUUGAGUGCUGUAUGCGGAGCACGAUGCCCACCGAUAAAGGGAAGCAAUGAGAAAGAAGCCGCUUUUUGACUCACAAGCAAACCUGCACUUGUCUGUCAUCGGCCCAGAUUUUUCACGUGGGUCCCACAGUGCACCAGGAAAACACAGAGCAUGAACGGAGGAUAGACAUUCGCUUGGCAGAACCGAGACCCCCACCCCAGCA